GAAACCUUUAAUUCAGUCCUGUGAGGCUGGCAAGGAAAUCGGACAUGUUCAGUAAAGAUGGGGAGUUGUGUAUACUCCUGAUUUUUCUUGAACCUGAAAAGCUUUCUGCCUCUCGCAGAAAGCUUUUUUUAU
Non-coding RNA from Aneurinibacillus migulanus, 132 nucleotides. The record is from Rfam. Lineage: Bacteria; Bacillati; Bacillota; Bacilli; Caryophanales; Paenibacillaceae.